CCAGCGUCAAAAAAUGGCAAGGCGGCGCGGGGCCCGCGGGCCGCGUGUCUGGCCACCUGCCCAGCUGGGCGCGCACGUGGGGCGAAAGAGACGGCCUUGGCCCGGCUCGCUAGGUGCAGGGAGGCGCCGCCGCCUGGGCCGGGCCGUGGGAGAGCCAGCGGGUGAAGGCGUCCAGCGUGCGGGUGUCGGCGCGGUAGUGGCGCUGCGUGAAGCGCAUGAGGUCGGCCCAGGUGAAGUCCGGGUAGCGCCGCGGCGCAGCACUGGCCGGCGGGCGCACCACCCGGUCCUCGCGCGGGCACAGGAAGAAGGCCAGCGACCGCCGCGCCCGCCGCUGGUUCACCACCGCGCGGUGCAGGCAGCUCUUGUACCUCCCGUUCGACAGCGCCUGCAUGGCAUGCGGGUUAGCACAGUGCACAAGAAUCAUCGUGUCGGGCUGUCUCAUUGUUGCGGUGCGCCCGGCGGCGGGCCAGGCCGCGACAACCGGACGCGUGCAAGUGCCUGCCACCCACACGGCCAAGGGCCCGAGCUGUUUGGAGCCCCGGCGUGGUGUGGGCGCCGCGUGCCGGAUCGCCAGCGAAACCGCGACAAAAGUGCAAGCGGAAACGGCGGGGGCAACAGCAGCCACCACGUACCGGUGACCCGAUCCAACCCAACCCGACUCCAACCAACCUUGUACUAUAUACUAUACAUUAUACUCCGCGCGACGGCCCUCCGCGCCCGUGCGGCAUCGCAUAGGGCCGCUCGCGUGGCGCGGCGGAUCAGACGGGAUGGGCGCCGCACCGAGCGUCGGUCUCGGUCGUCGACCCAUUUCUCGGCCAUGGACACCGAGAGGGGGAAACCGACAAGGCCGCGCGCACCUGGACACGGCCACCCGCCGAAAGCGUUGCCCUGCCCGGCACCCAUCGUAUCGUCUCCCCGCCACGUCCCCGUCGACGUCCCCGCCGCCGCGCAAGCCUCUCCGCAACGCUCCAACGCCACAAACCAACAGGGAACUUGCUACCGCUAGCCGACCCCCUCGGUCCGUUCUCUUGUCGCAACUCUCCCCCGGAAGCCUCGAUCGGCCUGGGCGCGGCCGCGGAUAGACUAGAGAGAGCGCGCCGCGGCCGCGUGUACCUGCCGUAGCCCGCCGAGAUAGGAACCAACUCGAACGCAUGUCUCUAUUGCAUUUGCAUCGGCAUCGCUAUGUAUGUACUAGCUACAUGACAUGCCUACGUGUGCGUGCUGUAAUAACCUGCCCGUUUAGGUCCACUAGGAUUCGGGAAAUAACAGCACAGAGAGAGCUCAACUGAAUAUACACACAGGACAAGAGCGGCCAAGGAAAACAGAGGAGCGAGCGCUUUCGUUUCGUUACCAUGAAGGUGUCGCCGAUGUUGAUGACCAUGGCGCCCGGGACGGGCCGGACGGGGCGCCACUCACCGUCCACCAGCACCUCCAGCCCGCCCACGUCGUCCUGCAGGAGGAUGGUGAGCGCCGUGGGGUCGCAGUGCGGGCCCGUGCCCAGCGUGCGCUCCGGCUCCGGGCACGGCGGGUAGUAGUUGCACCGCAUGAUGGACCGGCUGUCCUCGAAGAACUCCCGGUAGUAGCCGCGCAGCUCCACGCCCAGGCUCAGCUCCAGCAGCUCCAUGAUCGUCAGCGACAGCUCCUUCAUCUCCUCGCAGUACCUCUGGUACACCCACCUGCCACACAUGCAUGGGACGGGACGGGGGUUCAUACGUCUCCCGAGUCCCGACUCGACCGCACGCCGACGUGCGGUAAAUGUAAACCGGCGCUCCUUCUUACUACCUUACUUACCCCAUUGGCUCGAAAUCCUGGCCGAGGGUGCCGACGAAGUAGUCCACGACGACAGGCGACGCGGCGCCGUCGUGGUAGCCGAACGACAGGGUCUCCUUCCAGGGGAGCUUGGCCGCGAACCGGUCGGCGUGCGCGCUCGUGUACCCGGACACGGUGCCGGGGACGCGCCGGGCGCGCUGCUUCUCGGCGAGCGGCAGCCGGAAGAAGUCGCUGGCGCCGUCCAGCGCGGCGCGCCCCAGCGCCGCGUCCACGCCGUGCCCGCACACCUGGAAGAACCCGUGCGUCGCGCACGCCGCGGCCACCUGCGCCGCGGCGCGCCGCAGCCCCGCGCGGUCGCCAUUGCGCAGCACGCCCACGUCCACCAUCGGCACCUCCAGCUCCGCGGCCGAGGACGGCCGCGCCUCUUCCUGCGGCCACAGGAAUGGCGCGGGGAUCUUGGGCUCCCGGCGCAGGUCGAACACGGCCGCGCCGGCCUUGCUGGCCGCCGCGUCGGCCUUGUCCUUGCCAGCGGGGAGGUCAAUGCUGGGGCUGGGAGUGGGGGCGCGGAGGAGGAGCGGCGGGGCCGGGCUGGCGUCCAUGGACGUGGCUGCGCGCUUGGCGCUGCUGCUGCUGCUGCUAGGCACAGCUGGCUCUUGUCGUUCCUGCGACACCAUGAGAUGUGCG
RNAcentral lists this unclassified non-coding RNA (2454 nucleotides) under Zea mays. Its description in RNAcentral is "misc RNA Zm00001eb366100". The record is from RNAcentral. Lineage: Eukaryota; Viridiplantae; Streptophyta; Magnoliopsida; Poales; Poaceae.